Long non-coding RNA from Equus caballus (horse), 3433 nucleotides. Lineage: Eukaryota; Metazoa; Chordata; Mammalia; Perissodactyla; Equidae. The record is from Ensembl.
AGAGUUUGAGAAGCCUGAGAGCAAACCUCCAGCAUCCAGAUUAUCCUUCAAAGAUGGCAAAGGAAAGAAAAGCUCUAAAAUCACCCAAUGCAUUGGAACUAGUUCUAAAAUAUCUACACCUUAAUGAAACCAAUUAUUCUGGCUGACCUGGGAGACAGGGAGAGUGGUAGCCUACAGAAGUGUCUAAUGAAGUCAGCCACCAGUCCCUAAGAGAAGCUGGAGCAACAGGAAGUGUUCCCCCCACCCUCUCACCCCCGCCCCCGACUCCUGCACUCGCUCUUUCUCUGUCUUUCCAGGAGGCAUACACCAUUCGAGAACUCCAUAGAGAAGACUCUGCCAUCUUCAGCAGCCCCACCCCUUACAGUCCUCCCCCCAUUGGAGAACACGUACCGCUAACUUGGGCAUCUCCAGCCAGCCGACACGUCAUCAAGAUGGCUUUUGCAGACUUCCCAAGGCUGAGGGAGCCAUGGCCCUCAUUGCUGCGUUAUUGAUGGUGGUCUUAGAGAGAGAUGGAUCAUGUCAUCACUAUCCUCUCACAGCCUCAUCCGUUACAUUGACUUAGCUGUAUGUCCAUCAAGAAAGCCAGGUGCAUUGCAGUGGAGCUCUUCGGCAGAAUCUAUGUUUCGUGUGGAUAUUUACUGUUUCAUUGUUGAGCCCCCGGAUGUGUUGGGCGCUGGCAGGCGGCUGCAGAGAGGAAGGGUGGCCUGCCCAGGGACCCGGGAGUCGUGGGUCCCAGGCCCACCUCUUCGGGGCCACCUUGAGCUGGGAGGAAGUCGGAUUUUCCAUGACACACACGGACUUAAAUCCUUCAGCGAAUGAGAAAUCCCCUGGGUGAGCGCAAACUUCCACGUUGCCAGCCAGAAAAAGAAAGUUCCCAGGAUUUUCGUUCCCGAAGCUCUGAGCUAACAGCGUUUGCACAAAGCCGGGCAGGACGCAGAGGGCGCGGCGAGGGGCGGGCUCUCACCGGUGCCUGUUUUGCAUCGGUUUACAGAUGUGCUUAGGUUGCAUUUAGACGUUGUAUUUUUAAAAGUUAAAUUUUGGCGUUUUGCAUUUAAUCCCGACUAAAGCUCUUUGGUCUGUUGACUUAAAAGGUCUUCAGAUUGCCAAGACUUUGCAGCUUGGAUAACAUCUUUGGAAAGGUUAAACGAGUCAAUCGUCUAAAGCUUUAGUCGGCACAGGCACGUGAUGCUCUGCCCUGCUGGAAAAGCAGGGGGAACACCGAGAUCUCCCCGCAAACCCUGUGCUUCCGCCGGCCUCUGGGCUCGCGGGGAAUCCCGCCGCUGCAGGGAAGGCACUUCCAUUAGGCGUUUCACUUCGUCCGAGGGAGGCCGGACGACCUCUGUCGGUAUGGCCGCGGCCUUCCAAGAAAUUCGAGCAAGAUCGGGAGGAGGAGACGAGCAGCAGGCCUGGAGACCUGUCGGCAGGGGGCGCGCCGGCCCCCAGCAGAGACAAAGGCCAGACGCGCACCGCGCGGACGGGGGUCGGCCCUCGGGGUCUGGGGGAGUCAGAGGGGGCGCAGCAGGGCAAGAGGAGGGUCCCCUGCCGCCCCCGCCCAGCCUACAGCCGCGCAGCGUGCUCGCCCUUCUUGGGAGAGAGGAGCGGGAGCGUUGCUAAGAUGGUUCCCAUUUUCUGCGUCGUCGCAGGACUCUGUCCCCGUGUCCACAGGCUGCUCUCCUCCCCGCACCGGCACCCGCGUGGGUUCAAACGGUGGCGGGCGGCCCCGGGCCCUCGGACCUCCCCCGGCCGGCGUUCUCAUCCUCCUCUGCCCCCGCCCCCGCCCGGCCCGGCUCCGCGCGGUGACCUCAUUCCCACCCCUCCGAGCGAGUGGGGUGAGCCCGUGGCCGAGGCCGGAGAGCGGAGCUUCCCGCUGCCCCCAGGAACGUGCAGCACGGGCGGGACGCGCAGGCUGUUCGGUUUUGUUGUAAGAAACACCGUGUAUUUUUUUCUAGCACAGGCCACACUCCACCACACUCGAGUACAGAAUAUUAAUUUUUUUUUUACUGCGCUCUCACUUGCCGUCAAGGCUUUCUUCCUCCUUAGCAUCAGGUAAGGACACAGCCAGGCACGGCAGGCACGGAGCCGCCGCCUCUGUCUUCGCCCAGAUCGCAGCAGCCCGCUGCCUCGAUGGUCUGAGGCUGCUGUCAGAUGCGAGCGCGAGUUGGGUCAAAACGACUGGAAGCCCAGCCGAGUGAGGUGGGGGGAUCUGGUUCCCCUGCACAGAGGGAGUCCCCAGGUGGAAGCCAGCUUCCCUCCAAUAGGGCCGAGACGGGGGGAAGCGCUUCUGCCACGCGGCCACACCUGUGCCCACUGGGUGGCCCCCAGCAAAGCUGCAGUCUCAGACUCCUGGUCCCUUUCUCAUACUGCCCCAAACGCUGGGGGGAUUUAAUCCAAAUUUCACUUUCCCUGGCCACGCAGUCAGGUCUUUCCUAACAUUUAAAGGGUUAGAUGGGGGGAAAAUAAAAUCAAAACCAAGUUUUGGAAUUAAAUUUCCUCUGUAUCUUCAAUACGUUAUGACAGAAAUCCAGAAGGAGAAAAAAUAAUCAGGAGCAAACUUCUGUGGUGCUUUCCCACGUGCCCCAGUGAAGCCCGGCUUCCUCCUCCUCCCCACCAGAGCCGGGAAAGAUCUGAAUACUGCGAUUAUGACAUACUGCAGUGGAUACAUUUUCUUUUUUUAAGAUAAAAGUUUUAUUUCAGAGAGAAGCACAAAGCCCUCACUGUCAUGAACAAGCCUGGGCCUCGCCGGGACUCAAGGACCUUCCAGAAGGAAACAAAAGGCAUUAGCUCUUGAUUAAGAAAAGUCCGCAGUGCCCCAGCCCCUGGGCCUCCUGCCCCCAGCAUCUCCAUCCGCCCUGACUCCGGGCCCUGGGCUCUCGGUCACCCCUCCGGAGAGCUCCUCCAGUUCUCCAAGGGCAACAGCCCUGCUCUCUCCUUUUCAGGCCCCGUUACUCUUAUUAAAUCACCCCCAGGCCUUGAGCCUGCCCCCUCUGCCCUCUUAUCAACCCUCUGCAGAACUCCGGUGACCUCCUGGAUCCCCAUGUUCAGCCAUUCCGUCACCCUGCAAAGCCCCAGCCUUGACCUUAGUCCAUUCUUCCUUUGGCCAUCGCCAACAUGGAGUGACCCCAUUCAAACAUUGACUCAUUCAACACAUGUCGAUUGAGCGCCUGCCGACUGCUGAGUGCAGUGCUAAGCAGCGAGAGUCAACUGCCCUGUCUUGGGGGCUUCAUAGCUGUCCUUUCUCUAGUUCACCCUCAGCUCAAGUCACAAAACCAUGUUGACUGGGGCUCCUGUACACUGACGCUGCCCAGCUCCAGCGAGACUCACUGUGGCGGGACGAGCCCUUCCUUCCUCACCUCGGGCUCUGCGGUCUAACAGACACCACUUCUUCCCAGUUUUCUCCAGGCUACUGGAAUCUCCAGUCCUGGGGGAGUGAGGC